ACGAACGCUGGCGGCGUGCUUCACACAUGCAAGUCGCACGGAAAGGCCCUGCUUUUGUGGGGUGCUCGAGUGGCGAACGGGUGAGUAACACGUGAGUAACCUGCCCUUGACUUUGGGAUAACUUCAGGAAACUGGGGCUAAUACCGGAUAGGAGCUCCUGCUGCAUGGUGGGGGUUGGAAAGUUUCGGCGGUUGGGGUUGGACUCGCGGCUUAUCAGCUUGUUGGUGGGGUAGUGGCUUACCAAGGCUUUGACGGGUAGCCGGCCUGAGAGGGUGACCGGCCACAUUGGGACUGAGAUACGGCCCAGACUCCUACGGGAGGCAGCAGUGGGGAAUAUUGCACAAUGGGCGGAAGCCUGAUGCAGCAACGCCGCGUGCGGGAUGACGGCCUUCGGGUUGUAAACCGCUUUCGCCUGUGACGAAGCGUGAGUGACGGUAAUGGGUAAAGAAGCACCGGCUAACUACGUG
RNAcentral lists this ribosomal RNA (467 nucleotides) under uncultured bacterium. RNAcentral's name for it is "partial 16S ribosomal RNA". It matches the Rfam family "Bacterial small subunit ribosomal RNA", at positions 29 to 507 of the family's 1533-position model. The record is from RNAcentral.